GAUGAACGCUGGCGGCGUGCCUAAUACAUGCAAGUCGAGCGAACGGACGAGAAGCUUGCUUCUCUGAUGUUAGCGGCGGACGGGUGAGUAACACGUGGAUAACCUACCUAUAAGACUGGGAUAACUUCGGGAAACCGGAGCUAAUACCGGAUAAUAUUUUGAACUGCAUGGUUCAAAAGUGAAAGACGGUCUUGCUGUCACUUAUAGAUGGAUCCGCGCUGCAUUAGCUAGUUGGUAAGGUAACGGCUUACCAAGGCAACGAUGCAUAGCCGACCUGAGAGGGUGAUCGGCCACACUGGAACUGAGACACGGUCCAGACUCCUACGGGAGGCAGCAGUAGGGAAUCUUCCGCAAUGGGCGAAAGCCUGACGGAGCAACGCCGCGUGAGUGAUGAAGGUCUUCGGAUCGUAAAGCUCUGUUAUUAGGGAAGAACAUAUGUGUAAGUAACUGUGCACAUCUUGACGGUACCUAAUCAGAAAGCCACGGCUAACUACGUGCCAGCAGCCGCGGUAAUACGUAGGUGGCAAGCGUUAUCCGGAAUUAUUGGGCGUAAAGCGCGCGUAGGCGGUUUUUUAAGUCUGAUGUGAAAGCCCACGGCUCAACCGUGGAGGGUCAUUGGAAACUGGAAAACUUGAGUGCAGAAGAGGAAAGUGGAAUUCCAUGUGUAGCGGUGAAAUGCGCAGAGAUAUGGAGGAACACCAGUGGCGAAGGCGACUUUCUGGUCUGUAACUGACGCUGAUGUGCGAAAGCGUGGGGAUCAAACAGGAUUAGAUACCCUGGUAGUCCACGCCGUAAACGAUGAGUGCUAAGUGUUAGGGGGUUUCCGCCCCUUAGUGCUGCAGCUAACGCAUUAAGCACUCCGCCUGGGGAGUACGACCGCAAGGUUGAAACUCAAAGGAAUUGACGGGGACCCGCACAAGCGGUGGAGCAUGUGGUUUAAUUCGAAGCAACGCGAAGAACCUUACCAAAUCUUGACAUCCUUUGACAACUCUAGAGAUAGAGCCUUCCCCUUCGGGGGACAAGGUGACAGGUGGUGCAUGGUUGUCGUCAGCUCGUGUCGUGAGAUGUUGGGUUAAGUCCCGCAACGAGCGCAACCCUUAAGCUUAGUUGCCAUCAUUAAGUUGGGCACUCUAAGUUGACUGCCGGUGACAAACCGGAGGAAGGUGGGGAUGACGUCAAAUCAUCAUGCCCCUUAUGAUUUGGGCUACACACGUGCUACAAUGGACAAUACAAAGGGCAGCGAAACCGCGAGGUCAAGCAAAUCCCAUAAAGUUGUUCUCAGUUCGGAUUGUAGUCUGCAACUCGACUACAUGAAGCUGGAAUCGCUAGUAAUCGUAGACCAGCAUGCUACGGUGAAUACGUUCCCGGGUCU
This 1372-nucleotide ribosomal RNA is filed under the name uncultured bacterium. RNAcentral's name for it is "bacterial SSU rRNA". It matches the Rfam family "Bacterial small subunit ribosomal RNA", at positions 28 to 1381 of the family's 1533-position model. The record is from RNAcentral.